Molecule: long non-coding RNA, 7667 nt
Organism: Mesoplodon densirostris (Blainville's beaked whale)
Lineage: Eukaryota; Metazoa; Chordata; Mammalia; Artiodactyla; Ziphiidae
Exons: 7
Source: RefSeq, a predicted model, not a curated record
GCGGUCCCACCCACUGCGCCCAGAACGGAGCCCGCGUUUCCGCAGAGCUGGAGCUCCCGGCUCGGGGUCUCUUCCCUCCGCCUUCACGGAACUGCCCCGGAGCCCGCGGCGAGGGCGGCCUCACUGACGCUGCCGGCUCUGGAGGGGCCCCGGAGGCCGAAGCCGCGACAGUCGUGCGGACGGCGGGCCGGUUGUUUCAACAAGUAACUUAAAGACCAAAUGGAAAAAAAGGAGGUUUGUGCCUGAGAUCAUGUUGAUGUGAAACCAGGGAUGGCCACCUUGUCCCAGGUACAAAACAAAGAAUCGCUUUGCACAAAGCCAGAAGGGAUACACUGAAAGAAUGAUCAGAAAAGAAUAAUACACAGGUACAAAACAAAGAAUCGCUUUGCACAAAGCCAGAAGGGAUACACUGAAAGAAUGAUCAGAAAAGAAUAAUACAUAGCAGGCCACCGCUAGGCCUCUCACCUGAAAAGUCCAGAAUCGGGAAGACACAGGCUGUAUCAGUUGCCCUGCGGCCUUAUUCACAAUAGCCAAGAUGGUGAAGCAACCCAAAUGUCCAUCAACAGGUGAAUGGAUAAAGAAGAAGAGGUCCAUGUACACAAUGGAAUAUUCACCAUGGAGAACAAUGAAUUACUGCUCUUUGAGGCACCACAGAUGAGCCUAGAGAUAAUCAUGGAACAUGAGCAGGCCCACUGCUGAGCCUCUCACCUGAGAAGUCCAGAGUCGAGAAGGCACAGGCUUCAACAGCUGCACUACAGGAAUUUUCACAAUAACCAAGACAUGGAAGUAACCAAAAUGUCCAUCACCAGAUGAGUGGAAAAAGAAGGAGUGGUCCAUGUACAAAAUGGAAUAUUCGCCAUGGAAAACAAUGAAACACUGCUCUUUGAGGCACCAUAGUUGAUCCUGGAGAUAAUCACAGAACAUGAGGAAUGGAAAAAAGCUGAACAUCAGGAAUUAAUAAAGCCAUGCAAAUCCAGUGUACAAAAACUUUCACCUCACAGCCUUCAGGAUGAUCAUCAGCAAAAAAAAAGUCUACAAAGAAUAAAUGCUGAAGGGGUUUUAGAGAACUGUGUACCCUUUAGCUGCUGGUGGGAUGUAACCUGGUAACAGCCAGUAGUGAGAACAGAAUGGAGGUGCGUUUAAGGGUAAAAAUGGAGCUACCAUGUGAUCUGGUAGGCCCACUAAUGGGCCUAUCACAUGAGUAGACCAGAAUCAAAAAGACACAGGCUGGCAAUCCUGCACUGCAGCAACAUGUACCAUAGCCAAGACCUGGAAGAAACCAAAAUGUCCAUCAACAGAAAAAUGCACCAAGAAGAAGUCGUCCAUGUACACAAUGGAAUAUUAGCCAUGAAAAAGCAUGGAACAGUGCCGUUGGCACCACCACAGAAGGAUCUACAGACAAUCACCCAACUUGAAGUAAGAAAGAAACCGAAAGACAGACAUCCUAUGACAUCACUUACAGGUGUUACCUAAAAAUUGAUACCCAUGAAAUAAUUUCCAAGAGAAGGACACACAUAGAUUCAGAAAACCAAAUGGAAAGGUGUAAGGAAUGUAUGAAUUAGGAUAUGGGGGUUAACAGACAUGUACUAAUACAUAUGAAAUAUAUAAUCACACAAUACCUAUGGAAUACAAAGAGAGGUCUACUCAACACUCUAUAAUAUACACGGGAAAGGAUCCAAAGAGGAAUAGACAGAUACAUUGAUAGGAUGAAUCAGAAACUGUACACCUAGGAGAAUCUACAUUUUUAUCAAAUUUGCUCUGAUAAUUAAUAAAAAUUAAAUUUAAAAAGCAAACAAUUUAGGAUAUAUAUGCUCUUGGGGCUUUGCGCUGGCACAUUCCACUCUAAUUUGCUGCGUACUAACACAAUUUCCAGGAAAGCUCUGUUGCCCAAAAACCCAGAGUUGGAAAUGUAGAAAUGCUGCCGCCUUGUGGCCGUUUCCCACAAGAGCGGCUUUAAACCCACAGCUAAUGGUCACUUAACAUUAGAAGGACUCACGGCUGUAAAGGACACCUGCCCUAAACAACUGUGCGGAGGUAGGGAAUGGCCAAAAAAAUUCAAAACUGCAAAUUUUUCAAGAAAAUAAUAUGAAGAGGUAAAUUUGGCUCACUCUCUUUUAAAAAAAGGAAAAUGGGUAAAAAGCUCAACCUUGGUAAUUAUUAGACUCGUGCAAAUCUACUCUACAAAAAGGUUUCAACUCACACCAGUCAACUGGCCAUCAGCAAAAAGACUACAAACAAUAAAUAUUGAAGGGGUUUUAGAGAACACUGUACCCUCUAGCUUCUGGUGAGAUGUAAAGUGGUAACAGCCAAUAAUGAGAACAGAAGGGAGCUAUAAUUAAAAUAAAAAUUGAGGUACCAUUCAAUCCAGCAGUCACACCACUGGGCCUCUCACCUGAGACCUGAAUCGAGAAGACCCGGGCUGCAAAAUCUGCACUGCAGCCUUAUUCACAAUAGCCAAGACAGUGAAGCAACCAAAAGGUCCAUCAACAGAUGAACAGAUAAAGAAGAAGUGGUCUAUUUAUACAACAGAAUAUUAGCCAUGGAAAACAAUGAAACACUGCUAUUUGAGGCACCAUAGAUGAGCUUGGAGAUAAUCACAGAACAUGAGGUAAGUCAGAAAGCAAAAACCUAUAUCCUAUGGUAUCACUUAGAGGUGUUAACUAAUAACUAACACAAAUGAACAUAUUUCCACAGAGAAAGACACUCACAGACUUAGAAGUAUGCUUAUCUAAAAGGAUAGGUGGGGUGAAUGGAAAAAUUAAGAUUAGGGUUACCAUACGUGUACAAAUACCUAUUAAAUACAUAUAUCAAAAGACCGACCAUAUAGCAAGUGAGGUCUAUGGAACUGUGGAGACGUCCCAAUCACCUGACUGCCCUCCGACCUGCCGUGAAUUGGAGACUGAGACCAGGCACGCCUCUCUCCUCCAUUCACUCAGGGACAGACUGGGGGUCAUGGGAACCUCAGAAUCGAAACCAGAUUCUAAGACACCCCUGGGGUGUCUCCUAGCCAAUUUUACAGCCCUCGGUUUCUCCCAAGUUCUCCGUUGCCGACGGCUUAUUUUCUAUUCCACUGUGGCCAGGCCACAAUAUCCUCUAGACAAUCAAUCCAAAUGGCCUCCUGAAGGGACUUUCAAUUUUAACAUCCUCCGUGAUCUAGAUAAUUACUGCUGCAGGAUGGGCAAAUGAUCCGAGGUCCCCUAUGUUCAGGCCUUCUGGUAUUUACGCUCCCGCCCCUCCCUCUACGUCGAUUGUUCCACUUCCCAGAUCUUUCUUGCCAAACAGACAUCUCCUACAUCCAAGCCCCUAAUUUCCUUUGAUGAGGACUCCUCUCCACUAGGCGACCCACCCGAAUCUCUCGCCUCUCCCCCUUCCAGAGCUCCUCUCCAGCCUCCACCCAACCCUGAAGCGGUCCCUCCUCAUCCCGCAGCCGCCCCGGCCCAUCCAACCGCUCCCCCGCCUCCCUCAACGGUUUCUCCUCCCUCGCCCCUUGCUUUGCCAGUUAGUGCACAUACACUCUCUCAUGACUCCCAAGAUCCAAAUCUCCUCUGCCCUCUGAGGGAGGUAGAAGGAGCGGAAGGAUUAGAGUUCAUGUUCCCUUUUCCCUCCAAGUUCUCUCUCAAAUAGAAACGUGAUUAGGCUCCUUUUCGGCGGACUCUUCCCGCUACAUCAAAUAAUUUCGCUACCUCUCUCAAGCUUAUGAUCUAACCUGGUAUGAUAUCUCUGUGAUCCUAUCUUCUACUCUGACCCCUGAUGAGAGGGAAAGAAUUCAAACUGCUGCCCAAAACCAUGCAGAUCAGGUUCACCUUACCGACAACUCCAUGCCUGUCGGAGUGACUGCUGUACCUGGUACCAAUCCAGGCUGGACUUAUCAGGAUGGCCAAGAUGGCCGUCAUAAACACGACCUCAUGAUCCAGUGCCUCCUGGCUGGCAUGCAGGCUGCUGCUCAUAAGGUAGUCCGUUUUGAAAAACUAAAAGAGAUAAUCCAAGAACCUAACGAAAAUCCAGCUAUCUUUCUCAAUCGCCUUACAGCGGCCUUAACUUUCUACACCCAACUGGAUCCCGACACCCUGGCAGGGGCAGCGGUCCUAGCCACCCAUUUUAUCACCCAAUCAGCCCCGGACAUCCGAAAGAAAUUAAAACGGGCAGAAGACGGCCCUCAAACCCCUAUUCGAGAUCUGGUAAAGAUGGCCUUUAAAGUCUACAAUGGCCGUGAGGAUUUAGCAGGAUCCAGCUGACAGGCUCGGAUGCACCAGAAGGUGGCCCUCCAAACCCAACCUCUUGUAGCCGCCCUAAGGCCGGCCAUCUCCCAUGUAUCACAGCAUCCAUGGGGUCCGCAAAAGGCAACCCCGCCGGGGGCCUGCUUCAAAUGCAGAAAAGAAGGCCACUGGGCUCGCCAAUGUCCCAAUCCCCAACCUCCUUCUAAGCCCUGUCCCAGCUGCGGGUUAACGGGCCACUGGAAGAGUGACUGCCCUACGACUGGCCCUCCCUCAGCGUCUCCACGUGGGGGGGCGGGCCGACCCAAUGGCAUUACCACUCGAACUGCUGGGAUUGGCUGACGACUGAUGGCACCCGGACUCGAAGACCCCCAUCACCCUCACCGAGCCCAGGGUAACGCUACAGGUAGCGGAUAAGUCCAUUUCAUUUCUGGUGGACACGGGGGCUGCUUCUUCGGUCCUGCCUACUUAUUCUGAGCCAGUUUCUCCUUCCCAGAUCUCGGUCAUGGGUAUUGAUGGCAAACCAUCCUUCCCACUCCAGACCGGUCGACUCCCAUGUCAUAACAAAGGACUCCCUUUUACUCAUUCCUUCUUAGUCAUACCAUCCUGCCCAGUUCCCUUGCUAGGCCGAGAUGCCCUUUUCCACUUAGGGGCCUCCCUCCAGCUGGAUAGACUCAACCCUAAGGUCCCCUCCUCCCAACUCCUGCUUCCUCUUCUCGGCCUGUCUCUAGAACCCUCCCCCUCCUAUCCCCCUCUUCCAAUCACACCGAACCCAAUCAAUCCCCAUGUCUGGGAUGCUUCUAAGCCCAUAAUAGCAACACACCAUUCCCCUGUCCUCAUCGGCCUAAAGGACCCCUCCAAAUUUCCAUCAAGGCCCCAGUUUCCCAUCUCUGAGACUCACCUUAGGGGCCUACAACCUAUUAUCACCAGACUCCUAAACCAGGGACUCCUUAUCCCCACUGACUCUCCCUGAAACACCCCCAUCCUGCCUGUCCGCAAGGCCUCUGGGGAUUAUCGCCUGGUCCAGGACCUCCUACUAAUCAAUGAAGCCAUAAUCCCUCUCCACCCAGUAGUACCAAACCCAUACACCUUGCUCUCCCAUAUCCCCCCAUCCACAACCCACAUUAUGGUUCUGGAUCUCAAAGAUGCCUUUUUCACUAUCCCUCUACAUCCCGACUCCUAUUUCCUCUUCACCUUUACCUGGACGGAUCCGGAUACUCAUACUUCCGGUCAGCUCACCUGGACAGUUCUUCCCCAGGGCUUCCGCGACACUCCUCACCUCUUCGGUCAGGCGCUGGCACAGGACCUCACUUCCUGCUCCGGUACCCCCAGCACACUCCUUCAAUAUGUAGAUGACCUCCUCCUUUGUAGCCUAUCUCAGCCUCUCAAGAGAACAUACUGCAGAUCUCCUCAAUCACCUUGGCUCUCGCGGUUAUCGGGUCUCCCCAGCCAAAGCUCAGUUAUCUGUAUCUUCUGUAACCUACCUGGGGCUCCAUCUUACCCCUACCACAAAAGAUCUAACAGCCGAUCGCACCCGGAUUAUCCGUGAACUCCAGCCUCCGGAAACAGCGGAACAAAUUCUCUCUUUUUGGGGCCUUAUAGGAUUUUUCCUACACUGGAUCCCUAACUUUGCUCUCCUCGCUAAACCCUUAUAUCUAGCCGCUAAGGAAACCCCUCAAGGACCCCUCACCUCUCCUUCCGCCGUUCAACAGGCCUUUCUCACCCUCCGUAACGCUCUGAUAUCUUCUCCUCCCCUUUCUCUGCCCAACCCAAACCGACCUUUUCACCUUUUUGUGGAUGAACGGGCCGGAAUAGCCACUGGACUCCUUGCCCAGCCUGUAGGGCCUUCCUACCGCCCCGUGGCUUACCUCUCCAAACAGCUACACCCAACCAUUCGGGGAUGGCAACCAUGCCUUCGGGCCCUAGCAGCAGCAGCCGAACUGACCAAACAAACACUACAGAUACUCAACCACACAGGAAUAGGUAACAUCUCCGACUGCUUUCUAUGUGCCUCACUUGGCCGGCCGCCCUUGGCUGCUGUCCCACUCGACCAGCCCUUCAAUUCUACUUCCUACACAUCCCAAAACCCACCUUCUUCCCCGUUAAAAGUCCCCAUAUUCCUUGAUUCAAAAAUAUCUCACCAUCUGUUACAGCAGCCGCCCAAAUCUACCUGAUACUGGGUUUCUUUGCAACACAUCCCUCACGGUAAACACAUCAAUUGAAGCACCACCAGGCAUGUUUUUGUGGUGCAAUGGUUCCCUCACAAGAGAUCAAUUCUUCCUCCCCCUUCCCAUGUAUCUCUGUUACUCUCGUCCCACAACUCACACUGUAUAGCCAAGAUGAAUUUUCCUCGCUAAUCACGCCGCCCUUUACCCGACAAAAAAGAGCUAUCUUUCUUCCUCUGGUCUCAGGCAUCUCUCUCGCCUCCUCCCUGGUCGCUGCAGGCAUCGGGGGGGCGGGGGGGAGCUCUAACACAUAGUGUUUCAACAUUCCGCGACUUAGAACAUAAGCUCCAGCUAGCCAUUGAAGGCUCCGCCGCCUCCAUCUCCUCUCUCCAGUGCCAAAUCACCUCCAUAGCCCGAGUCGCUCUCCAGAAUCGACGAGCCCUGGACCUCCUGACGGCCGACAAAGGAGGUACCUGCCUCUUCCUACAGGAGGAAUGCUGCUGUAAACGCCCUCCAUCGCUUAAGAGAACUCCAACGCAAACACCAACAGUCCACCUCCCCUAUUCCCGAUUGGGGGCGAUCCACCCUCUAUACCUGGCUAACACCAAUCUGAGGCCCCUUAAUUCUCAUCUGUAUCUUGCUCAUGUUUGCCCCCCGUUUUCUUAGGUUCCUUCGCCGGCGCAUGGAGGAAGUCUCUCGGGUGGCCACAAACCAAAUGUUCCUCAGUCCUUACACCUUGCUUCCUACAGAAACCCCCACUGGUCUCCCCUAAGCCUCGGACCUCUGGUCGCCCGACUCCCCUUUCGACGCCCGCAUUCAGCAUGAAGUAGCCAGAGAUCGGAACGCCGCCCCAUUACACCAAAGAUGUCGGGAUGUAAGGCCAACUGGCCCGAGGCAGGGGAACGCAAUCAGAUUCACAGGUUGCAUCAGACCGAAACUCUCCGGACCACCCAGUUCCAGAAACUGACCUGGAGACAUUCCGGACCACCCACCCAGUUCCAGGAACUGACCUGGGGGAUUUCCACCCGGCCCAGCCUUCCCGCCUUUCGAGGGAUGGGACUAGCGGUCCCAAGACUGAUGUAACCGGCACCAGAUAGUGCCACGACACCCGAAGAGACCACCAGAUAAGGAAUUCCCUGCGCCCUCCCAGAUUCACCACACCCCUUUCCCUUCUUCCCCUAUAAAAUCUUGCCCAGCCCUCGCCUGGGGGCGACUUCUCUGGUCCCUUUCUCUCGGACCAGUGAACCUCGCCCGGGAGCGCCCCCUAAUAAAGCUCACUUGAAGCGUU